UACGGAGGGAGCUAGCGUUGUUCGGAAUUACUGGGCGUAAAGCGCACGUAGGCGGCUUUCUAAGUCGGGGGUGAAAUCCUGGAGCUCAACUCCAGAACUGCCUUCGAUACUGGCGAUCUUGAGUCCGGGAGAGGUGAGUGGAACUCCGAGUGUAGAGGUGAAAUUCGUAGAUAUUCGGAAGAACACCAGUGGCGAAGGCGGCUCACUGGUCCGGUACUGACGCUGAUGUGCGAAAGCGUGGGGAGCAAACAGG
Molecule: ribosomal RNA, 253 nt
Filed under: uncultured bacterium
Lineage: Bacteria
Description: partial 16S ribosomal RNA
Rfam family: Bacterial small subunit ribosomal RNA
Source: RNAcentral